Tympanuchus pallidicinctus (lesser prairie-chicken) is the source of this 7986-nucleotide long non-coding RNA. RefSeq lists it as uncharacterized. Lineage: Eukaryota; Metazoa; Chordata; Aves; Galliformes; Phasianidae. The record is from RefSeq and is a predicted model, not a curated record. The transcript is spliced from 3 exons.
AAGAGUCUGUAAGGAGAGAAAGUCACGGGAAAGCACUAUUUAAAAGGGGAGGCUAAGGAAAGACUGAAUGGGCCUUUCUGAAUUCCUCUUCUGGAAGAAGUGUCGUCCCUCCUGCUGUCUUUCUGUCCACCACGAAGUCAUGUUUGCUGCCAUCAUAUUACUCCAAUAUUUAGCCCUGUCUGAACUUUGGAGUAAAUACUAGUACUGCAAGCAACACAGCAGCUCUUGUUCCUAUUUGUCACCUCAUUUAUAAAAACACUGCUCUGUUAUUGAUCACAAUUUGCCUUGGGCUGCAAUGGCUACUCAGCAUUGCCCACAGACUCCUGUUACUGAAGGACAAAGCAUUAGCAAGGAGUCACACAGAAGUGAUGUUCCUGGGGAUAGAGGUACCAUUUCACUCCUUGUGAAGGUGGACAUCUUUUCUGAAAGGAGUUAAUGAAAAGCUUGAUUCACCCUAGGCUACAGCCACAUUAGCCAUGAAGCUGGGAAUAAAUAUUAGCUGUCUGUUCUCCCAGCAUGCUUCAUGUUAACACACACGUCCUCUUCCUACAGCAUCCUGCUUUACAGAGCUAGAUGUGCUUUGACUACGGCCACUAUUCAAUUUUCCCAGCAGUCAGCAGCAGAUGCUGCCAAUGCAAUGCUGCCUCAUCACUUGGAAUGCCUUGCUUUCAUCCUUUUACCUUCCGAGAGGGAUGUUUGUUUGCUCAUUUCCCUGCCAAGUGUUCAACCUCACACAACAGACCCCCAGCCUUGGUUCAUUCACUUGAGGCAGCACUUCUAUGCCAAGGGAGCAAUUGACUUCAGGAUUUGUGCCGUGUUCGCUGCAAGCACGAGCUGCCAAACAGUUUGGGCUUUCCUGUGUCCUGCUGGGCUGCUCUCCACUGUGUGCUGGGCCAGAUAAUCUCCCACUGCCCCCCCACUGCAGAGAAGAGGUUUGUUUGCUGGUAUGUUUUGCCUUGUUGCUUGGGUGGCUGUGGUUUUGAAACCAUGAAGUUUCCUGGGAAAAUGAGAGCAUGCGAUUGGCAUUUCUGCGUGGGUCUCUGAACUGGAUAGAAUUGAGCUACCCAGGAACCUGGGUUGGGAAGAAAUUGGCACAGCAACUUUUGGCAGCUCUGAGAGAAUUGAUCCUCAAAUACCACCAAGGGAGAAGUCUGAUCUGUGAUGACUACACAACCCCACAAUCUGGUUAAGGGAAGAAAGCAGUCAUAAAGGGAUGAUGCCACACAUUGCACCCAUGAUGGGAGAGCAAACAGCCUCAAUAGAAAAUAUAAAUUCUAUUUAGAGGAACACGUGAGACUUUCUUUAAAUCUGAUUGUGAAAAUAGGUUUGGUGUCAGUUGUAAUAAUGAGAACUUCAUGGAUCAUUCAUUUUUUUGGGUAACAUUGGCAGAGACUUAGAACACUGGGAGGACAUCUAAUCAUCAGGCAGCUUCCUGAACAGAGACCCAGUUGUAUAGAAAAGAAAACUUCAGCGAGGCUUACCAUGAAUUCCUAUCAUGUGCUCUAGAAUCAAGACCCUCUCAGCUAAAAUCUUCAGAGCUUCUCGAAGUUGUUGAACACCUUCCCCCUGCAAGACAGAAAAGCAAACCAACAGUGCUAAAUAUUUGCAAAACAGGCUUCUUGUACAUAAUGUUGGCUUGGUAAUGCCAAACUGUGCAGUGUAAAUAUUUAACAAGAGAAGUCAUAAAAACAUGAGAUAAGCUGCAAGAGUAAAGUUGGAAUGCAGGAGAAAUCUCUAAAGAAAAUCUCCUCGGUUAUACCCUACAUUUGCAGAGCCUCUGACUAAGCCAAACCUUUCACUUUGGUUCCUGCUUCUACAGUGAGCCAAACCCAGGGAGUAUAUUCCUGUCAAAAUAUGUUAUGUUAUGCAGCUUAUGUUAAUAACUGUACUGUACUACCUGGAGAACAGGUUUUGCUCUUGCCUGACGUUUACUCUGAACGCCAUUGAGUUUCUUGGACUUUCUCUUCAUUGGGACACCAGAAAAGCGAGAGGGUUGGCAAGCCUCAUCUUGCUUCUGCCUUAUAAAAUAAACUGAAACAGUGGCACAUGUGCUCAUCCUGAUGGACUUGAGCCAGCAGUGUGUGCUUGGAGGCCAACAGUACUGUGGGCUGUAUCAAAAGAGGAGUGGCCAGCAGGGAGAGGGAGGUGGUUGUCCCUCUCUACUCUGCCCUCAUGAGGCCCCAGCUGGAAUACUGCAUCCAGGUCUGGGACCCCCAUCAUAGGAAAAACGGGGAGCUUCUGAAAAGGGUCCAGAGGAUGGCCACAAAGAUGAUCAGAGGGCUGGAGCACCUCUCCUGUGAAGAUGGGCUGAAGGAGCUGGGCUUGUUCAAUUCAGGGAAGAGAAGGCUGCAGGGUGACUUCAUUACAGCCUUCCAGUAUUUAAAUGCAGAUUAUAAACAGGAGGGUAGUCAACUUUUUACAUGGAUAGGUAGUGACAGAACAAGGAGGGAUGGUUUUAAACUAGAGGGAAGAGUUAGAUUAGAUGCUGGGGAGACGUUUUUCACUGAGAGGGUAGUGAGGUGCUGGCACAGGCUGCCCAGAUUGGUUUUGAAUGCCCCAACCCUAGAGGUGAUUAAGGCCAGGUUGGAUGGGGCCCUGGGAUCUGAUCCAGUACUUGAUCUUGUGGCUGGCAACACUGCCUGCAGCAGGGGGGCUGGAACUUGAUGAUCCUUAAGCUCCCUUCCAACCCAAGCCAUUCUCUGAGUCUAUGACUUCGUUCUGCCUCUCACCAAGCUCUGAGGCUGGCCACAGGUAGUCUUUUCUUACCUUGUAGCAGCUUUGUGUGGGAGAAUAACAUCUGGGGGCUGAGGAGGUGUUCAGCAUGCAGGAGGGCAGCUGACAACAUGGCCAACAGACCACUAAGACCUGGCUUUCUAGCAUGCAGUAUGUUGUAUACCAAGAUUCAUCUCUUCUGCUGCCCUUUUAACUGCUGACAGGAGCCUUGCCCCUCACAAACCGAAAGGAAUAUGAUUAGAAGACAGUAAAGAGUUACAAAGUAAAGCAAAAACAAAACAAAACAAAACCACAGUAAAAACCCAUGCUUACAUCAGCACCUUUAUCACCUUCCUCGCCCUUCUUGCCUGGUUCACCCUAAAACAAACAAGAAAGAGAAAUUUGUCUCCAUAUGACCGAGGAUCCUGCCCAGAAUCACUUCCCUCCAAUGGACCACAGUAAAGAUGACUCCUGAGCUCUGCCCUAGCUCCCAGCAGCUUCCCAAGAGGUCACUGCUAUUUCUCACAUUGAUAAACUUGGCUGGGGGUGGCCAAGCUGCACGAGGGGCUGGCUGCCAUGGCCUGGACCUACAACAGAUCUCAAUGAACAAUGUCUUAGUCCACAGCGUUGAGAAAGAAAUGCUGUUCUCCUCCCCCAAACAUGCAAUUGUGCAUCUUUGAUUUACACCAUAAAAUUCCUCCUUUCUUCUUUCAUUAAUUACUCAUAUCAUUUUCUGCCUCUGAAGAUGCUCAUUAAGCUUUCUGUGAGCAAAAUCCCUACGUGCUGUGAACACUGGUCUGAUGUUCCCCCUAACCUAAGUUCGUGCAUUUCCUGAAGAACAGAAGACACAAAGAGAUUAAGCCACAAGCUUAAGACAAAGCCUAACAAAUGGCUGAAUGAAAUAGGGUGGAAAUGCCUGGACUCUUCAGACUCACUGGACAUCCCUGACAUACUUGCAAAGCAGAGAGCGAGGAUGGGAUGAAGGGCUGAAGAAAAGAUUGUAGGAGCUGUACAGUAUGAUGAGAUGGAAUUAAGGAAGGGUGAAGAGAAACUUCCCAGAGGAACCAGGAUCUCUCUGAAUGCUGCCAGUCAAGACACCCAACUUGUUCCACUCACUUUCAGCCAAACUUCAACUCUGUUUGCACUCUAGCCAUACGUGCCUAUGCAGACAUCGCCUGAGUGCACUGGUUCAGCUACUGCCAAAAAAUCAUUUGGCCAAGUCUCUUAAUCUCAUUAAAGGUUUUCCAGCUCAGCUUGGCAGAUCAAGGUGCAAGAGGACACCGAGAGCAGCUGAUGUACCUUGGGUUAACAGUGCCCUUUGAGCUCUGGUAGUGCCAGGAACCUCACAGGGCAGGGAAGAGGUUCUGUCUGCCAGACUUUGGCUAGAGGGGAUCUGCAAAUACUGCACAUCUCCUCCAUUGGCAUGUUGCCUUCCUGAUCACUGCUCUCCACCUCUGACCUGUUAACAGGACUUUGUCAGCAGUCCUUUCCUGCAGUGUACUUUAUGCCAUUGACUGCCCUGUUGACAAAAGACCAUUAGCAGAAGAUGGCUGGUAAGGCUGCAGACAUAGAUGCUACCUUGCUUUGCACUGUGCAGUUAGGGCUUCCCAUUAGGCAAACACUAUCAACAGAACAACUGAACUUAGAGCAAGUAACCUCCUCUCCUAAAAAAAAUCAAUGGGAAUCUGGCUGCUCUGUGAUACUUCUGGCUCUAGAAGGAAGACUCACAGCUGCAAGACACCAACUCCAUUCCUUGAGCCACCCAAGGUGGAGAAAGCCUAUGGGAUCACUCUGACACACUCCACAUUUCAGUGCUAUGUUUCGCAUUCCAUUUGCAGAGGAAUACUUAAGCACCUUUGGUCACCCCUCUGUUUUUUUGGAGUACUGAGCAGAAAAAAAGGAGAAAAGGAGAUGCACGUCAUCUACAGCUACCUACCUGCAGGCAGUGACCUCCAACGUGAUGGUAAAAGUGGCACUUGGAAGAGAAUUUGUUCCCCACAGCUGCAGCACAAGAGCAUGCCUAUACAGCCACCACUGCAGAUAUCUUUUUCUUUUUUUCCUAACACGUGCCAGCCAACAUUUUUCUUCUCUCUUUCUUUAAUUCUUUGACCUUUCCACAGUAGGCUCUCAGUAACAUUCCACUGUCCAUCUGCACCCACUUCCACAUUUUGCAGAUCUAACUGCUCAAUGCUUGCACCAUGUACUAAGAUCUCUGGUGAUUUUGUGUCCCUACUGCUUCUCAGAAGCAAUUUCAAAGACCGUGGCCUUUUGGAGAGUAAGCUUCACAGAAACAGCUGUAGGCCAAACUGCCAUCUGAAACCCUUCCUUAAAUGCUGGUGUGGGGAUCUGACAUGGAUAUAUCCUUGUUAAGAUUUUUCUCUGUUCGUUCCUAAAUUUCAUCUGUGUGCAAAUAAUAUUCCAACAGCCCUUCUUGCUACAGUUAUUAUCAUUUGACAUAACCCAUUGAGGACUGAGGUAUAGCAAACUUUCUAAAUAAAUUAAGAGCAUCACUUGACCUGGGGAACAACUUUGGUUCAGGAGAAGUCUGAUGAGCUUUUACUGCAUUACCAUCACAGAUGGAAGUCAUCAGAACAUCUAAAACAGUCCACACUAAAGAGCUUUGGUUGGCAGAAGAAGGCUGGCCUCUGCCAGGUUUAACAUUCCAAGUAUUUAUUACCUCUAUCUCCUUAGGGAACACCAGACACUAUGUAAGUUAUUCAGUCUUUUAUCUGUAUGGGAAACCUUCAUCUUGUUGGUUAGUUUUGGGUUUUUUUUUGCAAAAGACUUAGAAAUUCUACAUUUAAAAUUGGUCAUGGCUGCAGUCCCACAGAAUCUGAAAGAGCUGCAUAAAUUUCUAAGGCAUUCACCCAGAUCUCGCUGGGAAUCCCUCCACAUACGUAAAACCUUACCCUCUCUCCUCGGUCUCCUUUGGAGCCUUUGGGCCCAGGUUGUCCUGGAGAGCCUGGUAAGCCCUAGAAGAGAUGCAUGACAAGAAGAAUUCAGUUUCUAUUGCACAUCCAUUAUGAAGAUAUAGCCAAUACAUUUCCCAGUGAUCCUCAGCUUCUGUAAACCCCAUAUAUGCAUUAAGUGGCUAGGCUGGAUUCUUGUUUGCCCUCAAGCAAUAACAAUGGAAGCUCUUUUUGCAGAUACCUUAAGCCCUAUAUUUUCUACAUAUCCCUCUUUUUAGUUCUCUUAAUGAACUGCAUGCUGCUGAUAUAACAUUUUGUGAAGGGUCAAUGUGACAGGAUAGUUCUUGUUCUCAGUGACUGAGAAGAAAUUAACAAAUAGAUGGUAUGGUUAGCCUAAAAAUCCCCACUGCUUUCCCCCCUCUUCAUAAUUGCCUCAGUGGGUAGCAUGAGUAACCAUACAUACCUGAAAAUUAAUUGGAUUGUGUAGUGGAAAUUAUUUUGAAGCGAUUCACUCACCCUAAUAAACAAUUUUCAAAUUAAGCCCAAUCUCUACUAAUAAUUUUGCUCCCUGGGUUGAGUAAAUCUAUAAAGCAAAUCACCAAUGGUUAUGAAGGGUGUUGUCUCCAGACUUCUACUAAUUGAACUGCUCUGCAGAAAUUGAUCCAAAUUCUUAAAUUACCCACCCAGUGAAGCCACAGUGAGAAAGCAGGCAGGAAGAGAACACCACUGUUUGUUUCUAUUUACCAUGUCAGCUCCACAUGACCGUAUGCAAGAUGCUUUUUUCCACCUGAAGUAACUUGAACUUGAAGUCCUUGGAGACUGCAGCACAAGGAACCCCAGCUCCACUUCAGGCAGCUGCUGCUUCACGCUGACUUGUUUAACAGCAGGCCCCACUACCCACCACCUCUCAGCAUCCAGUGAAAUGGGCUUUCUAGCACAGCUGCCAGGAACCUCAGCCUGUAGUUAAGUGGCCCAACAAGGUCAGGCCUUAGUGUUUCAAGGGACAGUGGGAGGAACGCUCUCCCAGUUUCAGGAUUUUGAAGGACUAAUGGAGAAGCACUCUCUCAGCUUCAUCUGGGAGGCAGCCCUGCUCACCAUUAUCACGUUGCUCCGUGCCUGCAGUCAGUCCAACCAGCUCACCACCAACUUGUGCAAGAUGGCAGCUUAGCUACACCACCUCUGUAUCCACAAAAGAUGCAGAGAUUCAAGCGUGAUAGAGGAGGUUAACCAGGGCUGGCAAGCAAGGUAGGGCACAGACCAGAUUUGGCCUUAUGUCAAAAAGCAGCGUGAACAAAGCUCAAGUGUCCAUAGGUGACCUCUGCACCUGACAGCUCUGUACAUUCGACUUCAGUGCGUGUUUGCAGAGGGAUGCUCAAGGAACACUGAAUUAAACAAGUCUCUUGUUAAAAAUAAAAAAUUUAUAAUGCCUACUGCAUGUGAAAAAGCCAGACUCUAUUAAAGAACCUAUUUAUGAAUUGUGAAUUACCUUAUAUUUAAUCACGUUAAACUGCAACUGUCGUUUGGCUGCCAAACUUCCCACUGUGUUCAUAUCUAUCUGGAGUUUCUCACCGCUCUCCAGAGCAUUCACUAAUUGAAAUGAUUCUGCUACACUGGCAAAAUUUCACUAACUUGCUCUCAUUGCUUCUUCAAAGUGAUUAAUAAAUACAUAGUAGAAGUCUCCUUUCUCUAAUUUCCAGCAAUCCCAAACCUGUCAUAUCAGGAUCUAAGUCACAUCCGUUGUCUAAAUUACUUAAACUUUCUCUCUCUUCUGUACUCCUCAGUUACUUUUAUCUCUUUAAUUCAAGUAAGAUACCUAAUAUAGAAAUAUUUGUUGUCACUGGUUUGCCUCUACAGUAGGAAACAUUCAUCCCAAACUGGAGUCCUGUUUUAUCAGCCAACCACCAUCUGCAGCAGUUUGGCCACUCAUUAUUCAUCAUAACCUUCAUUUUUUCAACUUCUUUUUUCAUCCAUGUGGCUAUUUUGCCCUUCCACCAUAAAACAUUCUUUUGACUGAGUUUACAAUUCCCCAUAAUUAUCCUCCCCUCCACAAUUUUGGUAUCAAUAUCUAAUGAAUCAAACUGAUUAGAAUUUGUGAAGUUUCCUGAAUGGAAAGUGCUAUUUCCAAUAAAUUAGGAUGAAGAAAUUCACCUUGGUGAACUGGUGAAUUCUCAAUGACACAUUUUUCCUCUUUUAUGUGUUCCACAGGAAAUGCAGUGUUUUUCUAUCACAAUGUUAGUAAAGCCCACGUCAAAUCCUUUGCAUCAACUCAGGCUACGGUGAAAUGUUUUGACACAGUAGCAGCAAGAUAUGUUGUUAUGAUUGAGGGAAAACCUGGAAAGUAGAACCAUUUCAACUUCUUAACCCA